Molecule: transfer RNA, 74 nt
Filed under: marine sediment metagenome
Description: tRNA-Arg
Rfam family: tRNA
About the family: Transfer RNA (tRNA) molecules are approximately 80 nucleotides in length. Their secondary structure includes four short double-helical elements and three loops (D, anti-codon, and T loops).
Source: RNAcentral
GCCCCCGUAGCUCAGCUGGAUAGAGCAUCGGACUUCUAAUCCGAGGGCCAGAGGUUCGAAUCCUCUCGGGGGUA